This 433-nucleotide ribosomal RNA is filed under the name uncultured bacterium. RNAcentral describes it as "partial 16S ribosomal RNA". It matches the Rfam family "Bacterial small subunit ribosomal RNA", at positions 29 to 507 of the family's 1533-position model. The record is from RNAcentral.
AACGAACGCUGGCGGCAUGCCUAACACAUGCAAGUCGAACGAGAACUUCGGGUCUGGUGGCGCACGGGUGCGUAAGGGGGAGGAACAUGCCCUUAGGUUCGGAAUAACUCCCCGAAAGGGGUGCUAAUACCGGAUAAUGUCUUCGGACCAAAGAGUUAUCGAGUUUGGGUGGGCCCGCGUUGGAUUAGCUAGUUGGGAGGGUAACAGCCUACCAAGGCGACGAUCUAUAGCUGGGCUGAGAGGAUGAUCAGCGACACUGGGACUGAGACACGGCGCAGACUCCUACGGGAGGCAGGAGUGGGGAAUAUUGGAAAAUGGGCGAAAGCCUGAUCCAGCAAUGCCGCGUGAGUGAUGAAGGCCUGAGGGUUGUAAAGCUCUUUUACCCGGGAUGAUAAUGACAGUACCGGGAGAAUAAGCUCCGGCUAACUACGUG